CGCCCCUUUUUCCAGGCGGCAGCCAGGUCUUUCUCGCCAUGUCGCGGAAACGCUGCGUGUUUCGGUGCGAAAGCAAAACCUCUUUGUUUAGCCUUCCGAAAACGGAUGAAAUUAGGAACCAGUGGUUACUGUUUAUUUAUAACGCUGUUCCUGAUGAGUACAACCCGAAUGUCUGCUUAUGCACAGAGCAUUUCACCGAGGACAGCUUCCUGAACCUGGGCGAGUACAACGCAGGCUACACACAAAGACUGCUCCUGAAACCUGGAGCGACUCCCACUUUAUUCGGACAGUCUUGUGUGUCUGAAUCAGAGCCGGUACGUGUUUCAUUAUUUUAUCUUUUAAAAAUGAUUUGAUAUUGUGUUCUGCUGUGGACUGUUGAAAUGCGGAGUUUUGUGUUGUGGCCUAGCUGAAGGUUCUGCUAACGUGCUAAAGUUGUGAUGUUCAGCUGUGGACACUGUUCCCUGUAAACGUGCAGAGUGACGCGUGUUAUUUCUCGUCAUGAACUGCAGAGAUGGACUCAUGUUUACACAAGCCUUUGUUUUCGCUUCUAACUGGAGGCAGAAGUUCAUCUCCACCUGGUCCAUGAAGAGAGGUCUGACCUCGGUGGACCACGUGUCUCAGCCGUGUGCACAUUCCCCUGACCCCCUCACCUGUCUGUGUUCUGUCCCUCUUUGUCUGUCGAGGUCAUAAGACACACUAAAUGUUUAUUUUUUUAUAUACGAGUUGAAGGUUUCAUUUUCCAUCAAGUGGAUUUAAUUCUUCAUUUUUGUGUUAUUUCUGUUAGAGUACAUCUCAGCAGGGCCACGGUUCACAGCAGUUCUCCACUCUAUCCAGAAGCCAUCAUGUGGGAUGUCAGACGGACGGCGUAGAGACGAGAUCAGUGGGCACACUGCCUUUAGCGUCGCCAAAGAUGCGAUCAGUUGGCACACAACUGUCCAUGGGUACACUGAAGGGCACGCAUGUACGCAGCAAAGGCACCCAGGCUACGGUUUCUUGUCUGGAUGUAGGCACUGAAACCGCCCACAUCCCUUCAACACCCAUAAACACCCGUGCUUUCAGACCACGUAAGAGACCUCGUCUGGAGGAGGAGGAGGAGGAGGAGGAUGGAGACGGGCGUUUCUGAAAUCAUGAAAACCCAUGACUCCGCGUAUAAACCAGGUGACUCGGAGGAGUCCGAAUUAUUGCCACAGUCAUCGUACAGCGUUCCAAAAUACAUUGUUUUUGAAAGCUGCCUCCAAGAGAUGUUUGAGACACGUCCAUUUCAUAAGACCAAGUGUGAAGUCCAUAGUAGACGAAUAGGCACACUCACCCAGGUUUGCCCAGACUGUAACCAUCACAGACAAUGGGAGAGUCAGCCUAUCAUUGGAAGUACCCCCAUUGGAAACCCACUGAUGUCUGCAGCUACUUGGGCCUUGUUUUUUCACUUGAAAAGAUCUCCAAGGUCAUGCAGAUUGAGAUGAUCCAGUAUAGUCUGUUCAGGAGACAUGCUAGGAACUUCUUGGAGCUUGCUAUAAUAUACAAGUGGAACUUGGACAGGAAAAGGGUGGCCAAGUGCACUUCGCUACGCAACCACAUCCAAAACGUCUAUGUCCGUGAAAACCCUGUCUUCCCGAAGUGUGAACAUCCAGACAGUUUUUAGGGAUCCCAAAAACUGGUUCCACCCGGUGGAAAAAGUGGAAAAGGUCCUGAACAAGAAGAGUCCUGUAGGAUGUGGAAAAGCUCAGUCAUCACUACCAGACAUCUUCGCUGGAGGCCUUCCAUGGCGUGAUCCUGUGUUUUGCUCCCAGGACUGUGGUUUUCUCUUUCAUUGGAAUGUUGUGCAGGUUGUACCUUGCGGCUGUGCAUUACAAUGAAAAUGCAGACCGUGAACAGGCAACAUCAGCGGGACAAGCAGCGUACCCCUUCCCACGUUCCUGUCCUCACAGUUUGAAAAACCUUCAAAGGAGGGAGUUAUUGUCAGUCCACGUUAAGAGGUGGUCGAAAACCAGCAAACUGUCCAUCCGGAUCAGGAAACUCCAGAUAUAUCCACAGCACAACACAGGACUGGAGGACUAAGUAGCCCCAGCUGAUGAAUCUUUGAUAGGUGGCAUAACGGUGCCGUCUGUAAUAAGAAAGGUGGACUCUAUUACGAUUGUAGAUAAAACUGUAUAACGUGUACAGUUCAAUUGGUGUAAAAAAAAAAAAAUUUGUUUACAACUCUUACUAAAAGUAAAUAUAUCUUGAUAAAUAUUUUCUAUAGUGACAUUUAUUUAUUUAUUCACAUUUUCAUUUGUUUUGUUGCAGUGGUAUCAUGAACAUAAAAUGUCCUAAGAACAUACUCUUCUUUUACUCUGCACUUCAAAGGUCCAUAGUCAACUCAGUAAAUGUAUGAAUUAUCUGAAGGGUGUAAGGAUUCAAACAGUUCGCUUCAAAGUCUGGAUGGCGCAUCAUACAUUUUGGCGUGUCGGUAACCUGGUUCAUUCACCUUACAACCUAAGAAGGGAAGACAACCUAGUAACUGUUUAUAAUGCAGUCAACAUUAGACACUAAAGGAAAAAGAAAAUUUUUCCCCCCAAAUGUUCAAAUAUGUGACAACUGCUAGUGUAGAAAUGUUUCUUAGAAAGAAUAUUGAAUAUAUAUGUUACUUUAUGUAGUGUUUUUUAUUAUAGUACCUUUUUACAUUUCCAACUUCACGUGGCAUUCUAAGACAGUUUUCACAUCCGCACCUAAAUAAAUUAUAAAGGUAUAUCGCAUAAGUACAGAUGUGCACACAGAAGCCGUGUACAUGGCAUGGUUUUGCACUUGACAACGCGGCAGGCUGUCGGAAUUUUAUAACAUUGUAUCUGAAAGGUAAGAGUUACAAAAUAAAACCUUAACCACUGUGAAACAUUCCGCUCAAGUCAUGUUUGCGAGCUUGCUUCCGCUUGUUCAUCUGCAUUUUCAGAAUCUGGCUCGGACUGAUAGGGUAAAAACAUAGAAUUGCUUUAGAUGCUUUGGAGGUUGGCGCUAACCUAAGGAGUGUUCCAUUUCUAACUCGCAUUUGAGGUUUUUGGUCAAUCACAAUGUAACAGGUCAGCUGGCCAAUCAGAGCUCUCUGGGCUUUUCAGAAGGCGGGGCUUUGCAGAAAUUGGAGCAUUUCAGGCAGCCUGGGAAUAGACGUAUUGCAGUAUUACUUGACAAAUAAUGUGUUUGUUUUUUUAAUGUUAAAGCAUGUUCACCUAUUUAAUUACACCCAACAAACAACAUGAUUAACGUUUAAAAACUUGUGAAAAAUUAUGAAAUUACUUAAGUUCUCACCCUUCAAAGUGAUAAGUUUACUGUGAACACUCUUCCCUCUUUGUCCCCUUGUGUGAACACCUCUUCCUCUUUGCUGCUCUGUAACUCUUCCCAACCAGGUACAGACAUAAAACCUCUCACCGUUUGCAUGUUCCUUUGUCUCCUGAACACCAUCAUCUCACAUUCCAUGACUUCCUGAAUACCGUAUAUGGAGUUGUUCUUCUCUUACACUGAUAUGCUUCUUGUUUUAUGCAGUUAUGCCCUUCUGCCUAGUGAAUCAAUAGUUAACCCAUUGUCUCUGUUGUGUGUCAAGCCUUUCUUUGAAUAAAUUAGAGCACUUGCCAUUUGA
Long non-coding RNA from Ictalurus furcatus (blue catfish), 3604 nucleotides. RefSeq lists it as uncharacterized. The record is from RefSeq and is a predicted model, not a curated record. NCBI's taxonomy places the organism in Eukaryota, Metazoa, Chordata, Actinopteri, Siluriformes, Ictaluridae. The transcript is spliced from 6 exons.